This 1128-nucleotide long non-coding RNA is filed under the name Equus asinus (donkey). RNAcentral's name for it is "lncRNA (ENSEASG00005035859.1)". The record is from RNAcentral. Lineage: Eukaryota; Metazoa; Chordata; Mammalia; Perissodactyla; Equidae.
GGCAGAGGUGGGAGACUGUGUGUUAGGGGUGGCUGGGACAACGGGAAGAUGGAGAAUAGUUCCUGCUCCUGGAGCCCAGAAGCCUUAGUCUUCUCAUCCCUCCUCCUUCCAUCAGACUUCCUCUGAAGCCUCGGGGGCAGAGGGCAUCUGCGCCAGGGAACCUGCGGACCCGGCCGACCUGUCAGGUGCUAAAUAUCCCCCAGUGACUUCAGUCCUCUCCACUUAAGACAGUUCACCUGCUCCUGGCCUCUGCGAUUUCUGUUUUCUUUCUGAAAUGGCCGUGUGGCCAGGAAAUCUAUGUGUGUCACUCCGCCUGCUCCUAGCUCUUCCAACUUCAUCGACCAAGAACUGUUCCCAUGGGGUGGAAGUUCCAAACUGGCUUCUUAAAGAGACUUCUAAUUUCUUCCAAACUAAAUGGUAAAUCAACGAAGAAAACACAGGCCACCUUGCAAACCUCUUUGGGCUGCAGGUGCACUUCUGAGAGGAGUAAGGAGGAGUUUCUCCCCAGGAAGAGCCUGCCAAAAGAAGAGCAGUGUUCUAGGGUGGUGGUUCUUAAACGCUAGCAUGAGAAGGCACGGACUGCUGCCCCCUCUCCCCGCCCCCCCAGAGUUUCUGAUUCAAAAGGGCCAGGGUGGGGCUGGAGAAUUUGCAUUUCCAGCAAGCUGCCAGAAGAUGCUGAUGCUUCUAGUCCAAGAACCACUGUUCAAGGCAAAAGGGACAGACAGCAAAGCCUUGAGACAGCAAAGAGCUUGGUGCAUUCAAGGACUAGAAAGGAGUCUGGCGUGGCUGCAGGAUGAAGAACACCGAGGCAUCAGACAAGUUAUGUAACUGUCCAGGGUUACAUAACCAGGAAAUAACAAACCGGAAUGUGAACCCAGGUAGCAUAAGGCAGGCAUUGGGCCCACAGACUUCAUCCCACACUGCCUUUCUACUGCAUGUUGCUGUCCUUAUAAAUGAGUGAACAACCUUGAGAGACAGCUGGAGCAGACGUGAUUAUCAUCGCCAUUUUCAAGACGGGGAAAUUGAGGCUCAGACAGGCAACUGGUCAUAGUUGGAAGAAGAGUGUCAAUCUAGAUUUCCUGAUUCUAGAUCUCGAAGUCUCGUCACAAAACUGGGCUGCUAGUAAAC